Long non-coding RNA from Zingiber officinale, 742 nucleotides. RefSeq lists it as uncharacterized. The record is from RefSeq and is a predicted model, not a curated record. The transcript is spliced from 5 exons. NCBI's taxonomy places the organism in Eukaryota, Viridiplantae, Streptophyta, Magnoliopsida, Zingiberales, Zingiberaceae.
UUUCCUUAUUUCUUUUCCCCCAAAACCGCCGAUCCCUACUUGCCUUCCCCGAUCUCCCCUCUUCCUCUUCCUCUCUCUGAUCUCCCUCGCAGACGAGCGGCGCCGACAGGAGCGAGGCUCUAGCUCCGGUGACCUUCCUCUACCGCCGUCGACACCCUAAGGUCAGAUCCGAUCGAUGCUUCUCCUUUCCAGACUGUAAUCGGCCGAGGAGUUGCGGUUCGGCGGAUCUUGCGGUAGAUGGCCAAAGAUGCUGCGGCUAGGGCACGGUGAAGGACCAAAUCUCGCGUCUCAUUCCACCGAAGCUUGGAGUGAUGCCCUAGUUUGGAUUUGUGCCACUCGAUUUGCCGGCGUGGGUCAGGUCUUGGAUUCCCUUGUUGAUUGUUGAUUUGAGGAUCGGAGGAAUCUUUGGUACGUUGCUUCACGGAUUCGAUCGGGUUGUGCGACAUCUUCUGGAGACUUGAGAUCAUGGACUUCUUCAUGGUUGCCGAUUGAAGUCUCAGAUUGGAGUAUACUGGAAUCUAGCAGAGAUAUGCUUGCUCUGUGGUGAUUCUAUGGUUCAGCAAAUUUCCUUGUUGCCAGCAGCAAGUUUGAUCCGAACAGAGGAGUUGAUUCCAGUAGGUUGUUCUGUUCUGUGGUGUGUUCCUGUUUCGGCAGCAACCCCAUUCCAAAAGCUCGAUCGAGGACUCUGAUUCGAGACGGGCGUCUCGACCUUGGAUCGCUUGGUUGUACCUUUUAUUUGAGG